RNAcentral lists this ribosomal RNA (471 nucleotides) under uncultured bacterium. RNAcentral's name for it is "partial 16S ribosomal RNA". It matches the Rfam family "Bacterial small subunit ribosomal RNA", at positions 30 to 506 of the family's 1533-position model. The record is from RNAcentral.
AGUGAACGCUGGCGGUAGGCCUAACACAUGCAAGUCGAACGGCAGCACAGUAAGAGCUUGCUCUUACGGGUGGCGAGUGGCGGACGGGUGAGGAAUACAUCGGAAUCUACUUUUUCGUGGGGGAUAACGUAGGGAAACUUACGCUAAUACCGCAUACGACCUACGGGUGAAAGCAGGGGAUCUUCGGACCUUGCGCGAUUGAAUGAGCCGGUGUCGGAUUAGCUAGUUGGCGGGGUAAAGGCCCACCAAGGCGUCGAUGGGUAGCUGGCCUGAGUGGAUGACAGGCCACAGGGGGAGUGAGAUCCGGCCCAGACUAGUAGGGGAGGAAGGAGUGGGGAAUAGUGCACAAUGGGAGGAAGAAUGAUGAAGAAACGCCGAGUGAGGGAUGACGGCCGUCGGGUUGUAAAAAGAUUUCGCCGGUGACGAAGCGGGAGGGACGGGAAGGGGUAAAGGAGCACCGGCUAAUUACGU